RNAcentral lists this unclassified non-coding RNA (329 nucleotides) under soil metagenome. RNAcentral's name for it is "partial contains 5.8S ribosomal RNA, internal transcribed spacer 2, and large subunit ribosomal RNA". The stretch from base 1 to 120 matches the Rfam family "5.8S ribosomal RNA", at positions 35 to 154 of the family's 154-position model. The record is from RNAcentral.
GAUGAAGAACGUAGUGAAAUGCGAUAACUAAUGUGAAUUGCAGAAUUCAGUGAAUCAUCGAAUCUUUGAACGCACAUUGCGCCCCUUGGUAUCCCGAGGGGCAUGCCUGUUCGAGCGUCAUUUCACCACUCAAGCCUGGCUUGGUGUUGGGCGACGUCCUCUUUGGGGACGCGCCUCGAAACGCUCGGCGGCGUGGCACCGGCUUUAAGCGUAGCAGAAUCUUUCGCUUUGGAAGUCGGGGCCCCGUCUGCCGGAAGACCUGCUCGCAAGGUUGACCUCGGAUCAGGCAGGGAUACCCGCUGAACUUAAGCAUAUCAAUAAGCGGAGGA